AUUGAACGCUGGCGGCAGGCCUAACACAUGCAAGUCGAACGAGCGGCGGACGGGUGAGUAAUGUCUGGGGAACUGCCUGAUAGAGGGGGAUAACUACUGGAAACGGUAGCUAAUACCGCAUACCAUCGGAUGUACCCAUAUGGGAUUAGCUAGUAGGUGGGGGAAAGGCUCACCUAGGCGACGAUCUCUAGCUGGUCUGAGAGGAUGAUCAGCCACACUGGGACUGAGACACGGCCCAGACUACUACGGGAGGCAGCAGUGGGGAAUAUUGCACAAUGGGCGCAAGCCUGAUGCAGCCAUGCCGCGUGUAUGAAGAAGGCCUUAGGGUUGUAAAGUACUUUCAGCGGGGAGGCGUUACCCGCAGAAGAAGCACCGGCUAACUCCGUGCCAGCAGCCGCGGUAAUUC
This 406-nucleotide ribosomal RNA is filed under the name uncultured bacterium. Its description in RNAcentral is "partial 16S ribosomal RNA". It matches the Rfam family "Bacterial small subunit ribosomal RNA", at positions 30 to 526 of the family's 1533-position model. The record is from RNAcentral.